CAAUAUAGGUUUUUUGCUAUACAUAAUUUAAACCUCACAAGUCUUGCUGCUUCUCUACGAACAAGAAAUAAGAGAGCAAAAUGAUUAUUAUUCCCUAGUCCCUACCCUGCCUUACAAGUAACUUGUUCGUUCUUAUUAUUGUCAAACAACGAAAACCUUACAGACUAGAGGAGUUCCAGCUAGCAUCAACAGCCUUGAUAAUCUUGUCGUGUAAUUUGGCCCCAGCACAAGCAAUUAUGCCUCGAUCAAGACCUUCUAAGUACAUGCCCUUUGAGAAGUCCAAUGGACGCCCUCCAGCAUCAGUAACCACGCCACCUGCCUCUUCUAUGAUGACAACACCAGCUGCAUGAUCCCAAAUCUUCUCCUUGUAGCCAGCCCUUGCAAACUUCAUAAAAACCUCUGCAUCUCCUCGAGCUAUAGCUGCAUACUUCACCAUGCUGUACACACGUAGUGGUUGCAUUCUGAGCCCCACACUGUGAGCUAGUCCUGCUGUGAAGGAAUGGCUUGAAUUUGCCUUUUCAACUGGUUCACAAAAGGUAGCCAGUGCUGGAUNNNNNNNNNNNNNUGAACUGGCCUUGCGGAGUUUGGCCACACUAGCUUCUUUUGUCCCUGGAGUAAGGGUUGCAUCCAAGCCUCUCCACUUCCUUUCCUCGUAUAAAUCACACAGCCUUUGUCCCAAGAUUCAGAUGUUGGUGGGGUUAACUUAGAUAUAAUUCUAUGAUAGCGGUGGUGAUAAUUUAACCAUUCUUUCCUCAUUGGAUAGUUAGGGCAACCAAGAACCCCAAGCACGACCUCUCCAUCUUCUAUCAAUGCUAAAGCUACAGCAUAUUGAUCUCCACGCACGAAACCCAACGUACCAUCAACAGGAUCAAGGGCCCAAAAUCUUCCAGUAGGACCCCCGGUUGAGUUGCAAUGACUGAUGGCUUCAAGAACCUCUGCUGUGGUGAGAAACAUUUGUGGAGCUUUAAGACCAAAGCGGGGUGCUUCAGACAGGCAUUCAUUCACAGUUUGCACUACAGCUUCUAACAGGCCAGCCUUAUCAGCCUUGGAGAGGGUUCGAACAUCUUCCUCAGCAACUAUUGAGACAUUCCUAUUCCCUAGGGACUCAGAUAGUAUCCAGCUGACAGUGGCUUGGACGCUCCAAUCUGCUACAGUGACAAGUGAAUUAUCGUCCUUGGCUUGGACCUGACUG
Molecule: unclassified non-coding RNA, 1192 nt
Filed under: Hevea brasiliensis (rubber tree)
Lineage: Eukaryota; Viridiplantae; Streptophyta; Magnoliopsida; Malpighiales; Euphorbiaceae
Source: RNAcentral